This 76-nucleotide transfer RNA is filed under the name Acidimicrobiaceae bacterium. RNAcentral's name for it is "tRNA-His". It matches the Rfam family "tRNA". Rfam says of the family: Transfer RNA (tRNA) molecules are approximately 80 nucleotides in length. Their secondary structure includes four short double-helical elements and three loops (D, anti-codon, and T loops). RNAcentral also lists the same sequence under 1 other name. The record is from RNAcentral. Lineage: Bacteria; Bacillati; Actinomycetota; Acidimicrobiia; Acidimicrobiales; Acidimicrobiaceae.
GCGGGUCGUAGCUCAGUCGGUUAGAGCGCCAGUUUGUGGCACUGGAGGCCGGGGGUUCGAUUCCCCUCGAUCCGCC